This 72-nucleotide transfer RNA is filed under the name Phycisphaerales bacterium. Its description in RNAcentral is "tRNA-Gln". It matches the Rfam family "tRNA". Rfam says of the family: Transfer RNA (tRNA) molecules are approximately 80 nucleotides in length. Their secondary structure includes four short double-helical elements and three loops (D, anti-codon, and T loops). Further hydrogen bonds mediate the characteristic L-shaped molecular structure. tRNAs have two regions of fundamental functional importance: the anti-codon, which is responsible for specific mRNA codon recognition, and the 3' end, to which the tRNAs corresponding amino acid is attached (by aminoacyl-tRNA synthetases). tRNAs cope with the degeneracy of the genetic code in two manners: having more than one tRNA (with a specific anti-codon) for a particular amino acid; and 'wobble' base-pairing, i.e. permitting non-standard base-pairing at the 3rd anti-codon position. The record is from RNAcentral. Lineage: Bacteria; Pseudomonadati; Planctomycetota; Phycisphaerae; Phycisphaerales.
UUCCCCGUGGUGUAAUUGGCAGCACCGGUGUUUUUGGUACAUCUGGUCCAGGUUCGAGUCCUGGCGGGGAAA